Molecule: long non-coding RNA, 2205 nt
Organism: Anneissia japonica
Lineage: Eukaryota; Metazoa; Echinodermata; Crinoidea; Comatulida; Comatulidae
Exons: 2
Source: RefSeq, a predicted model, not a curated record
AUACCCCAAGAAGGUCCCACAUUACUCCAAUUCUUGUUAAUCUGCAUUGUUUUACAAGUAAAAGCAGGGAUUGAGUUUAAAAUUUUACUUGUAACAUUUAAUGUAUACAUGGCUUUGCCCCAAAAUAUAUGACCGACCUCAUAACGAUUAGGAAACGACAGGGGAAUAACCAUUAGAUCUUCAAGGGCGGAGCUCAAAUUUGAGUAUUCCAAAGGAAGAAUGCUGUCAACUCUUGGUGAUCAUGCUUUUGCUUCGGCUGCUUAAAAUAUAUGAAACAAAUCUGUUUAACCACAGAUGUAAAAACUAAAAAUAUUUUGCCUGCAAAUGCAAGAAUAGGCUCUAACAGGAACGUGUGUCUUUUGCUACUGAUGCUACUUUUAAAUCAUAACAUAACCACCCUUUCUGUGUUGGUAAAUCACUUGAAUAACAAGUAACAGUAACAGAUUGUUGACUUUUUAGUUCUUUCUAGGACAAAAAGCAUGAUAUCAUAUUUUUAAAUUUUACUUUUGGAAGACUUCAUAAAUUUUCAGCUUAUGAUGCAUCCUAUCAUUCCUCCAACCGGAUUUACUCUCACAGCUUAUAAGUGCGACGAUAGCGUGUCUACAGCCCCCCUUGGGCAGUAGACGCAAACAUUGUUGUUUUAAUUAGUCAAUUUUUACCUUUGAUCCUUAUAUUGGGAUGCAAUUAUAAUUUAAUUUCCUAUUUUAAUGAUGAUUGGUUAUCUAAAAGCAUAAAACUAUGGUGUAGGACCUAACACUGAAUGCUGCUUCCAUAAUUGUUUAUUAUAUUAAAAAAAUAUUACAAUUAAUUAAUUUUGACCUUUGACCAUGGUUUUGGCAGAUAAAAUUUAUUAGCUAAUUAAUUAAUAAAUUUAUUUGCUUCUUUUAUAACAAUUAAAAACAUAAAACAUAAUAAAGUGAUAAAACACUGAGUUCUUAGUUUCCUAAUGGUUUAAGAACCGAUAAUGAUUAAUUUUAAAGUUGAACCGAGUUAUUUGAAUAGUAAUAUGAAAUGGGGCUUAAUGUAAUUGGUGAAAAUCAAGUGAAUUGUAGUUGUUAGGUAAUAAAUUUAAAAUGAAUAUUAGAAUUUGUAAUAUGAAUGAACUGUAAUUAUAUUUCAGUUAUAUUUCUAUUGUAAUUUGGGAAUAUUAUUUUUAAUUAUAUAUAUCUAUUGUAUUGUAAUGUAUCUGAGUUGAACGACAACUCAUCCACUACAUAAUGAUUUUGCUCUUAACAACUCUGGUUACCGUCUAAAUGUACCACUCACCAAACGUUGCCGUUAUAGAAACUCCUUCGUUCCCAACUCCAUUACCUCCAUAAUAAUAAUGUUAAUCGAUAAUUAUUGUGCAUUUUGGCCUAAUUUAAUUAUGUUUAAUGUGUAAUAUUGCUUAGUAAUGUAAUUUAUUUUGUUUGGUAUCCGUAGUUAUCUUUUAUUUAUUACUGUAGGCCUAUAUGUUUUUAAACAUUUGUAUACACUGCCAGUGGAAAGUAAUUUCUGAGUUUUUCAGACAAUAAAAUUAAAGUGAAUUUAGAAUCUUAAAUCUAUUGCAUAUUUAAAAUAUAUAUGAAAAAAGUAUAUAAAUAAUUUAAAAACAUUAACAAAAUAAUUAGAAUGAACCUCUGGUGAAUAGUUGAACUGUAUGCUAUAUUUUUGUUAUUGAUAAUUAUUUUAAAGUAUUAUUUUCGACAAAUCUAUUAAUAAAUUGCUCUUAAAUUAUAAUGUGAGUAAUUAGGUAGAGUAAUUAAACUGUAUAGCGUAUUGUUUUUGUAAUUUAUACUUGAAUGGAAUGCAAUACUUUCUGAUAAAUCUUAAGGAAUUGCUAAUAAACUGUAUUUUUUGUUUGACAUAGUUAGAAUACUAAUAAUUGAUUAAAUUGUAAAUUGGAUUUAAUUUCUAUUAGUGUAAUUGAUAAUUAAAUAAUAAUAAUGUCAACUUAUUAGGCACACAUAUCCAUCUCUUGGCAGAGCUGUCUUGCGGCCCCAUUUUCCACCUGCAGAGUAGCCCUUUUUCUGCAUUAUUUGCCACUUUUGGUUAUCCUUGGAAGGUUUUUUGUUGUAAUUUUCUUUAUCCUCAAACGUAAUGAUUUUAAGUAAGUAAAUAGUGUUGUAAAUUGUGUUAAUUGGUCAAUACUUUGACUUCAAAUAUCAGCUAUUCAAAUCAUAUUGACUUUAAUAAAAUUAUAUAUCUAUGUAAAGAAAGUGAUAA